Megalopta genalis is the source of this 158-nucleotide non-coding RNA. Lineage: Eukaryota; Metazoa; Arthropoda; Insecta; Hymenoptera; Halictidae. The record is from RefSeq and is a predicted model, not a curated record.
CAUCGACAAUGAAGUGAAACGUCUUCUACAGGAAUCUUAUGAUCGCGCAAAAAUAAUAUUAAAAACUCAUUCGAAAGAGCACAAACAGUUAGCAGAGGCUUUACUUAAAUAUGAAACUUUAGAUGCCGAAGAUAUUAAAGCAAUAGUAAAUGGGAAAA